AGUGAACGCUGGCGGUAGGCCUAACACAUGCAAGUCGAACGGCAGCACAGUAAGAGCUUGCUCUUACGGGUGGCGAGUGGCGGACGGGUGAGGAAUACAUCGGAAUCUACUUUUUCGUGGGGGAUAACGUAGGGAAACUUACGCUAAUACCGCAUACGACCUACGGGUGAAAGCAGGGGAUCUUCGGACCUUGCGCGAUUGAAUGAGCCGAUGUCGGAUUAGCUAGUUGGCGGGGUAAAGGCCCACCAAGGCGACGAUCCGUAGCUGGUCUGAGAGGAUGAUCAGCCACACUGGAACUGAGACACGGUCCAGACUCCUACGGGAGGCAGCAGUGGGGAAUAUUGGACAAUGGGCGCAAGCCUGAUCCAGCCAUGCCGCGUGGGUGAAGAAGGCCUUCGGGUUGUAAAGCCCUUUUGUUGGGAAAGAAAGCAGCAGGUUAAUACCCCGCUGUUCUGACGGUACCCAAAGAAUAAGCACCGGCUAACUUCGUG
This 491-nucleotide ribosomal RNA is filed under the name uncultured bacterium. RNAcentral describes it as "partial 16S ribosomal RNA". It matches the Rfam family "Bacterial small subunit ribosomal RNA", at positions 29 to 507 of the family's 1533-position model. The record is from RNAcentral.